CAUUUGUUCUCUAAAUAAGGACUUGUAUGAAUGGCCACACGAGGGUUUUACUGUCUCUUACUUCCAAUCAGUGAAAUUGACCUCCCCGUGAAGAGGCGGGGAUAAACUAAUAAGACGAGAAGACCCUAUGGAGCUUUAACUAACCAAUUCAAAGAAAACAUAAUAAAUCACCCAAGAGAUAACAACAUUUUCUUAUGAGUUGACAGUUUCGGUUGGGGUGACCUCGGAGAAUAAAAAAUCCUCCGAACGAUUCUAAAGACUAGACCCACAAGUCAAAUCACUCAAUCGCUCAUUGAUCCAAAAAACUUGAUCAACGGAACAAGUUACCCUAGGGAUAACAGCGCA
Molecule: ribosomal RNA, 345 nt
Filed under: Tragelaphus angasii (nyala)
Lineage: Eukaryota; Metazoa; Chordata; Mammalia; Artiodactyla; Bovidae
Description: partial 16S ribosomal RNA
Rfam family: Archaeal large subunit ribosomal RNA
Source: RNAcentral